GAUGAACGCUAGCGGGGAGGCCUAAUACAUGCAAGUCGAACGGCAGCAGGCGCAGCAAUGCGUGCUGGCGAGUGGCGCACGGGUGAGUAACGCGUACGCAACCUGCCCCUUACCGGGGAACAGCCCUGGGAAACCGGGAAUAAUUCCGCAUGUGGUCCAGAGUUCGCAUGAACGCUGGACUAAAGUAUAACAGCGGUAGGGGAUGGGCGUGCGUCUGAUUAGGUAGNGGCGGGGUAACGGCCCACCAAGCCUUCGAUCAGUAGGGGACGUGAGAGCGUGGUCCCCCACACGGGUACUGAGACACGGACCCGACUCCUACGGGAGGCAGCAGUAAGGAAUAUUGGUCAAUGGUGGAAACACUGAACCAGCCAUCCCGCGUGCACGGACGAA
RNAcentral lists this ribosomal RNA (390 nucleotides) under uncultured bacterium. RNAcentral's name for it is "bacterial SSU rRNA". It matches the Rfam family "Bacterial small subunit ribosomal RNA", at positions 28 to 412 of the family's 1533-position model. The record is from RNAcentral.